This 301-nucleotide ribosomal RNA is filed under the name uncultured bacterium. RNAcentral describes it as "partial 16S ribosomal RNA". It matches the Rfam family "Bacterial small subunit ribosomal RNA", at positions 509 to 807 of the family's 1533-position model. The record is from RNAcentral.
CAGUAGCCACGGGAAUACGGAGGGUGCAAGCGUUAUCCGGAUUUAUUGGGUUUAAAGGGUCCGUAGGCGGAUCUGUAAGUCAGUGGUGAAAUCUCACAGCUUAACUGUGAAACUGCCAUUGAUACUGCAGGUCUUGAGUAAAUUUGAAGUGGCUGGAAUAAGUAGUGUAGCGGUGAAAUUCAUAGAUAUUACUUAGAACACCAAUUGCGAAGGCAGGUCACUAAGAUUUAACUGACGCUGAUGGACGAAAGCGUGGGGAGCGAACAGGAUUAGAUACCCCCGUAGUCCCUGUCUCUUAUAC